CAGUCGCCGCGGUAAUACGAAGGGUGCAAGCGUUAAUCGGAAUUACUGGGCGUAAAGCGUGCGUAGGCGGUUUGUUAAGUCUGCUGUGAAAUCCCCGGGCUCAACCUGGGAAUGGCAGUGGAUACUGGCAAGCUAGAGUGUGUCAGAGGAUGGUGGAAUUCCCGGUGUAGCGGUGAAAUGCGCAGAGAUCGGGAGGAACAUCAGUGGCGAAGGCGGCCAUCUGGGACAACACUGACGCUGAGGCACGAAAGCGUGGGGAGCAAACAGGAUUAGAUACCCCGGUAGUCCCUGUCUCUUAUAC
This 301-nucleotide ribosomal RNA is filed under the name uncultured bacterium. RNAcentral describes it as "partial 16S ribosomal RNA". It matches the Rfam family "Bacterial small subunit ribosomal RNA", at positions 509 to 807 of the family's 1533-position model. The record is from RNAcentral.